This 472-nucleotide ribosomal RNA is filed under the name uncultured bacterium. RNAcentral describes it as "SSU rRNA". It matches the Rfam family "Bacterial small subunit ribosomal RNA", at positions 26 to 518 of the family's 1533-position model. The record is from RNAcentral.
AGGACGAACGCUGGCGGCGUGCUUAACACAUGCAAGUCGAGCGGAAAGGCCCUUCGGGGUACUCGAGCGGCGAACGGGUGAGUAACACGUGAGCAACCUGCCCCUGGCUCUGGGAUAGCCUCCGGAAACGGGGAUUAAUACCGGACAUUCACUUCCUUCCGCAUGGUUGGUGGUGGAAAGUUUUUCGGCCGGGGAGGGGCUCGCGGUCUAUCAGCUUGUUGGCGGGGUAACGGCCCACCAAGGCGACGACGGAUAGCCGGCCUGAGAGGGCGAUCGGCCACACUGGGACUGAGACACGGCCCAGACUCCUACGGGAGGCAGCAGUGGGGAAUAUUGCACAAUGGGCGCAAGCCUGAUGCAGCGACGCCGCGUGGGGGAUGAAGGCCUUCGGGUUGUAAACCCCUUUCACCAGGAGCGAAUUCAGACGGUACCGUGGGGAAGAAGCGCCGGCUAACUACGCGCCAGCAGCCGC